Molecule: long non-coding RNA, 1791 nt
Organism: Actinia tenebrosa (Australian red waratah sea anemone)
Lineage: Eukaryota; Metazoa; Cnidaria; Anthozoa; Actiniaria; Actiniidae
Source: RefSeq, a predicted model, not a curated record
GAAGGUGCUUGGACAUGGUAGAGAGUAGUCCUUUUAGGUAUAAAGUAGCGAAAGUGCAAGGUAGCGAAAACACCGGAUACCAUUUAAUUAAUAAUGAGAUUUUCUUUCACAUAUUUUUUUACUAGAUGACAGUACAGCGAUAGUCAACUUACUUAUAGCUUUCAUUGCUUUCUUUUUUACUGUCUUGGCAAUUGCCUAUUUUUGUUAUACUAAAAGGAGGAAAUCAAGAGCAGAGGCACCCACAACUGCUAAUAUUGAGAAUCCGCAACCUCUGCAAGUCAUGCCAGAAUGUGUUCAACAGAGGAAUCCAAGAGCUGAGGCACACACAAUUGCUAAUAUUGAGAAUCCGCAACCUCUGCAAGUCAGGCCAGAAUGUGCCAACGCUAACGGCACAGUCAGUGAAGAUCCUUAAAAAGGAAAGAAGAACAAUAAUUGAAGAAAGUGAGAGUCCAGGUAGAAAGAAUGCCUGAGGUUGGACAUCAACCCCUUCUGCAACCCAGGCCAGAACCUGCCAAUGCUAACUGCGCAGACAAUAAAGAUAAUAAAAGGAAAGAAUAAAAAUUGGCACAAGUUGAUAAUUCUUUGAUUAAACUUGAAGAAGACAGUAGAUCCAAUGGUACUUACGUGAUCUGACGAAGAAGAAAAGAGAGUAUUAGUCCAGAAUGAAGCAAGCUCAAUCAAUAUAUACCAUGGUGGUAUUUUGUUUAAAAGAAUUUUUUUUUAAUGUUUCUAGGAAUUCUAUAGAAGUUUGAUUGCUGACGAAGUACUAUUAGCUUGGAUUGAAAAGGAAACCACUUUCCACGAUCAAUCGCCAAGAAGUCACAUUCAAAAGAUGCCGAUUGCUCUUUCCCCCACUGCUUUUCGCUGUAAUAUCUUCAACUUACUUAAGUUACUUUACAAAGGUGCUUUUGACAAUCUUAAGUGAUCAGUUGGUCUUUUUAAGUCCUUUUUACGGCUUUUUAAGUCUUUUUUUACGACUUUUGACGGUAAAAUCGUUCUUCAGAAAAUUUGUUUUGAGCCGUGGCUCUUUUUUUCGCAAGAAGCGGUGAGCUCAACACUCGGAUGGAUUCCUUGAUAUAAUUGUGCAAUUUAUGCUGAAAUCACUGCUGCAUUGAACCAAUCAGAUUGCAGGAUUUGCUUGUGAUUUCAAAAUGGAUGUAAUAAAUUUAUUUAUUGAAUGUGUAUUUGAGAUAUAAAGCCGUGUACUUUGGGAGAAGUGAUAUAUUUUUGUUCAGCACAGAAACUGACAUUUUCGUAAAUACUUAAGUCAGGAUUUACUCUAAUUCUACAAAAUUUCGUCACAAAAUUUCGUUAAAAAUUGGGAGUAUCUAACUUGAUUAAAUUUAAGAAAUCGUGAUAAAGUGGCGGGCGUGUCGUUUUUCUGCUCUGUCUAAAGACUAGAUAUAGAUAUAUAGGGAGUUAGAGGAUAUAGCUAUCACCUCUUAAAUAAUACAUGUAUUUGGUUUUCCUAAAAUUAAAAAGAUAUGAAGGGCCACUAGCACUACCAAAUAAGCAUUUAUACAGUAGUACAAGAGACUGAUAUAUUCAUUUCUGCUUUAACAAGUUAGCAAUACUUAGUAAUUGUUCAUAUGGGACAGAUUUCCCAUGAUCCAAUAGUGUUCUGAGGAUAUAAUAAUUGGCGUCGUGUAAACUGUCGCUUUGUACUUUUCCAAUUCCUAAAAGUAGAGGGCCACAAUAAUACUAAUGUGGAAGGAGAAAUGCCUUUAAUAUAAAAUUAUUAGCUUAUCCAUAGGUAAAAACGUCUGAAACAUGAACGGUGAGCUUGUAAUA